RNAcentral lists this ribosomal RNA (253 nucleotides) under uncultured bacterium. Its description in RNAcentral is "partial 16S ribosomal RNA". It matches the Rfam family "Bacterial small subunit ribosomal RNA", at positions 524 to 776 of the family's 1533-position model. The record is from RNAcentral.
CACGUAGGGUGCGAGCGUUGUCCGGAAUUACUGGGCGUAAAGCGUGCGCAGGCGGUUUUGUAAGCCGGAUGUGAAAUCCCCGGGCUUAACCUGGGAAUGGCAUUCGGGACUGCAAGGCUGGAGUGCGGCAGAGGAGACUGGAAUUCCUGGUGUAGCAGUGAAAUGCGUAGAUAUCAGGAGGAACACCGAUGGCGAAGGCAGGUCUCUGGGCUGACACUGACGCUCAUGCACGAAAGCGUGGGGAGCAAACAGG